This 539-nucleotide ribosomal RNA is filed under the name uncultured archaeon. RNAcentral's name for it is "bacterial SSU rRNA". It matches the Rfam family "Bacterial small subunit ribosomal RNA", at positions 513 to 1050 of the family's 1533-position model. The record is from RNAcentral.
AGCCGCGGUAAUACGUAUGUCGCAAGCGUUAUCCGGAAUCACUGGGCAUAAAGGGCAUCUAGGCGGUUUGAAAAGUCAGUGGUGAAAGGUAUGGGCUCAACCCGUGCAUUGCCAUUGAAACUCUUAAACUAGAGUAUGGGAGAGGAGGGCGGAACUACAAGAGUAGCGGUGAAAUGCGUAGAUAUUUGUAGGAAUGCCAAUGACGAAGGUAGCUCUCUGGACCAAUACUGACGCUAAAGUGCGAAAGCUAGGGUAGCAAACAGGAUUAGAUACCCUGGUAGUCCUAGCUGUAAACGAUGAUUACUGGGUGUAGGCUGUCAAAGGUCUGUGCCGAAGCUAAUGCGAUAAGUAAUCCGCCUGGGGAGUACGACCGCAAGGUUGAAACUCAAAGGAAUUGACGGGGACCCGCACAAGCGGUGGAGCAUGUGGUUUAAUUCGACGCAACGCGAGGAACCUUACCAGAACUUGACAUCCUAAGAACUUAGCAGAGAUGCUUUGGUGCCUUUUCGGAGGAGCUUAGUGACAGGAGGUGCAUGGCC